GCCGACUUAGCUCAGUUGGUAGAGCAUCUGAUUUGUAAUCAGAGGGUCGGGCGUUCGAAUCGUCUAGUCGGCA
This is a transfer RNA of 73 nucleotides. It matches the Rfam family "tRNA". From Rfam's summary of the family: Transfer RNA (tRNA) molecules are approximately 80 nucleotides in length. Their secondary structure includes four short double-helical elements and three loops (D, anti-codon, and T loops). The record is from Rfam.